AGGACGAACGCUGGCGGCGUGCUUAACACAUGCAAGUCGAGCGGUAAGGCCUUUCGGGGUACACGAGCGGCGAACGGGUGAGUAACACGUGGGUGAUCUGCCCUGCACUCUGGGAUAAGCCUGGGAAACUGGGUCUAAUACCGGAUAUGACCUGCUCUCGCAUGGGGGUGGGUGGAAAGAUUUAUCGGUGCAGGAUGGGCCCGCGGCCUAUCAGCUUGUUGGUGGGGUAAUGGCCUACCAAGGCGACGACGGGUAGCCGA
This 260-nucleotide ribosomal RNA is filed under the name uncultured soil bacterium. Its description in RNAcentral is "partial 16S ribosomal RNA". It matches the Rfam family "Bacterial small subunit ribosomal RNA", at positions 26 to 290 of the family's 1533-position model. The record is from RNAcentral.